CAUACACGCCAGUAUCGGAUCAGAGCAUAUUUAGCUCUAGUCCGUCAUUUUUUUCAAAUGCUCCAGAGUCGCCGCCGCCGAUGUCAUACACGCCAGUACUAAGACCAGCGCCUGAAUAUUACUGGGGUCUGCCACCACAGCAUUGUCAGUGCUGUGUCCAACGGGCGGAAACAAAAGAGUUUUUAAAAAAUGUAAUUGUUAAUACACUAAUGGAAAUAUUUAGAGAGCAAUAAAUGUAUGUAUUCUUUAUUAUGUGUAUUGUGUUUCUUCUGUUACAGGUCGUGAAGGUUUUUCGGCUGGGUUUUUCUCCUUCACCUGAUUGGCAUCACAAUUGGCACAAUUCCCAGCACAAUUGGCUUUAAUAAAUAUAU
This is a long non-coding RNA of Ornithodoros turicata, 371 nucleotides long. RefSeq lists it as uncharacterized. The transcript is spliced from 7 exons. Lineage: Eukaryota; Metazoa; Arthropoda; Arachnida; Ixodida; Argasidae. The record is from RefSeq and is a predicted model, not a curated record.